This 354-nucleotide unclassified non-coding RNA is filed under the name soil metagenome. Its description in RNAcentral is "partial contains 5.8S ribosomal RNA, internal transcribed spacer 2, and large subunit ribosomal RNA". The stretch from base 1 to 120 matches the Rfam family "5.8S ribosomal RNA", at positions 35 to 154 of the family's 154-position model. The record is from RNAcentral.
GAUGAAGAACGCAGCGAAAUGCGAUAAGUAAUGUGAAUUGCAGAAUUCAGUGAAUCAUCGAAUCUUUGAACGCACAUCGCGCCCGCCAGUAUUCUGGCGGGCAUGCCUGUUCGAGCGUCAUUUCAACCCUCAGGCCCCCAGUGCCUGGCGUUGGGGAUCGGCGCGGCGCCCUCCGGGGCGCUGCCGGCCCCGAAAUUCAGUGGCGGUCUCGCUGUAGCCCUCCUCCGCGUAGUAGCACAACCUCGCGGCCUGGAGCUCGGCGGUGGCCAUGCCGUAAAACACCCCACUUCUGAAAGUUGACCUCGGAUCAGGUAGGAAUACCCGCUGAACUUAAGCGUAUCAAUAAGCGGAGGA